CUAACUAUCAUGUUAUGACUCACUAGACUCGUCCGGACUUAGAAUGAAUGUCGAUCUGGGGCUGGUUGUGCACUUGUGGUGGCCUCUACUGCUUUGCAAAGUCAUUGCCGAUGAGUUUCACCCUACCACACAUAAGGUUAGUCCGUUACUGUGCGAUAGGCCUCCAAUGAUAGCGCCUACCCUAGGACCUCGCACUACUCUUACCACAUGCGUCAAUCCUCUCUAAGUGAGAAUGAAAGACCAUAGUGUUGGGAUAACCCCCCAUAUGAAAGCCUCUUACAUCAACUUAUUUCCC
Molecule: long non-coding RNA, 295 nt
Filed under: Vigna radiata
Lineage: Eukaryota; Viridiplantae; Streptophyta; Magnoliopsida; Fabales; Fabaceae
Description: long non-coding RNA (VRAD_LNC003327)
Source: RNAcentral